GCCCGUACCGCCUGUGAACCUCCUUGGUAAGGAGAGGGUCGACGGUUCGAGUCCGUCAGAGGGCU
This 65-nucleotide transfer RNA is filed under the name Actinomycetota bacterium. RNAcentral describes it as "Actinobacteria bacterium tRNA-Ser". The record is from RNAcentral. Lineage: Bacteria; Bacillati; Actinomycetota.